UGACGGGGAUCAAUGCAGUGCUGCGAUUGGCUCCUUAUAAAGGCUUUGUAGCCAAUGACCUGCCCCAUCUGUCUAUAGACUUGUUGCUGGAAGGUGUUUUCCAGUUGAGAUCCCUGGGAGGACUAUUAUGGGAUGUGUUCGACUAUGAUAUGCCUUACAAAACAAAUCUGAUGAGUCAUAGGUUCAUCCACAUUGGUGACACCGGCAGCAUGCAUAUUUCAAAGUAUGUGAGACUAUGAAUGCCUGAUUCGCCCUCCUUGCCUACAUCAAGUUGCAGAUCUAAUUGUCACUGAAGCAAUUAACCUGAGACUUUGAGCUGUAUCUCUAAGCAUUAAUGUGCAGUCUUCAAUACCUGCUUUCUACCCGUCUCGCCCACUGCUCCUUACUGCCAGGAUGGAGACAUUAGCAUACAGAUUGUAUGAUCGGCACACCUGGUGUUGUAUAUGAGCGUGCAUGUUUGUGUGUUCAUCCAUGCAUGAGUGGUGCGUCGGCGGAGCUAUGAAUGGGCAGAGAGGGGUGUGUUCUCGAGACACCAUAGCAGCAGUGAGAUGAGGACUGCCAUCUACUCCACUGCACGUCUGCUGUACUGAGGGAAGGAAAAAUCAGAAAGAGGGGCAAAAAGGAGUACAACCAGAAACUAUCCAGACGGCCUCAUCCAUCUUAAAACUCCAUUAGCAUUGAAUUUCUCCAGAGGAAAACAAAUCUUCAAGCCAGCUAUGGAGCAGAAGACAAAUGAGGGUCCAACCACCACUUCUCCUCAGAAGCACAUGAAGAACAGGUCCAAAUCCAUAGAUGAGAUGCAACAGUCGAAAAAGGCCUUUUCAUCACAAAAAUCACUCCCAGGCAGACCAGAGCUGGACAGAGUGAAGGAGUGUCCUGAUGCCUCUGACACCCCUUCAUCCUCCACUGAAGAACUAAAAUGAUAAAUAAAAGGAUGAGUCGGACAGUAAAAUUACCAUCAAGAUACAAGAUCGUCAUAAACACGUCAAGCAUAAAAUGUACAUACGUAUGUACACUGGAAAACAUACACAAUUACUGAUAAUAGUAAUUUAGAUUAGAAUAACAUGAAAGCAACGAAGGGAUGAAUUGAAAGAAAAUGUAUGAAAUGAGAGAUUUGAACACACACACACACACGUACUGAGACAAUCGCAUGUAAAGAAAUGGGCGUCCGUGAUAAUGCAUUUUCAUUGUACUGGGAGUGUCAUAUACAUACCAAAACUGAAUGUGUAUUAAAAAUAAAGUGAUGCUGUUGAGUGAGUC
RNAcentral lists this long non-coding RNA (1260 nucleotides) under Mastacembelus armatus (zig-zag eel). Its description in RNAcentral is "lncRNA (ENSMAMG00000024344.1)". The record is from RNAcentral. Lineage: Eukaryota; Metazoa; Chordata; Actinopteri; Synbranchiformes; Mastacembelidae.